AGCUACAUACAUUUCAUCCCUUAAUGAAAUGAUGUUUUGCAGCUUAGCAACUUUGCCGCCAAUGCAAACGUGACUGUUUGCCUGAUCCAAUUUCAGAGUGUGUUGGCUUGUUCUCAACUCUUUAUAUUGUGAGUUUUUUUGCAGCAUCUUUGCAUUUCUGAGAGUCUUUUUAUUAUUUGACUCAGAGGGCAUGUUGGUUUCCUCAGAAGUCUUUUGAGUUUGUUUAGGUGAUUCUCAUACUUGAUGCGAAAAAGCAUGGUGUCCUUGACAACUUCAGUGCUUUCAUCUGCAAGAUGUACAAGACAGUGUGCAUUGUAGGACAAGAAUUGUGGACCAUACAGUUGACCAAAGUGAGAGACAACGAGCACCACCUACAAGUCAGAGGACCCAUCUUCAGCCACAAGAGAAGAAGCCGUCUCAUGAUGGUGCAUGUAGUCGAGGGGGAAACCAGAGACCAUGUUUAGGGAUGUUUCUUCAAGAGGUGAUGGACCAUGAUGAUGAUCAGCAUCUGUCUUAUUUCUGAAGCUCUCAUUAGUUCUUAAAGGCAUGUCAGUUCUUGGAAAUGUCAUUCUAUUUUCUAGGUACAAACCAUCCUGUGUGCAUUUUUCACAUCCGUGAUAGCCUGUGUGACCUUUAAAAUUUUUCAGGAAUGCACGGGCAGGUCCAUCACAGACCAUCGAAAGAGAGUAUUAAAUUUAACAUCACUCCAUCAAAUUCAAAUCCUUUAGCUAAUUAAUUUACUUCAGAGAUGAAUUCUUGAAGGUACUCUGCUAGGGAUGUAGGUUUACUUGUGCCACAAAAUAAACGUAUUGUCACUGGUUCCUCUUGUUUGAUGUUUUGCAGUGUCCCUAGGAUGGGCCAGAACUGUGAUGCUGAGCUCUUAUAGAGUGGCAAACCAUCAAUGCUGACCUGAAGUUCCAGUGUGUGAAUGUUGCGCAGAAUGUCAACAUUCUGAUGUAGCACCUCUGCAAUUGAAUUCAGCACUCCAAGAUGCAAGGCAUUCGAUUGGCUGGUAGGUGCUGAUGUCGCGCUGCAAGAACAACAUGGCACGGGUUCAAAGCCUUAUUCAACUGAGAAAAUUGAUCAGCGUCAUGGUACAAGCGAAGUCUGAAUGGUUUGUUUCCCUGUUUCUUCUGCCUUGGCUGCACCAGCUGUGGAAACCAGACCUGGUGAGGACCCUCUCCUCCAUCCUCAACUAUUGAACCUCUUAUAUCACUCGGAUGAGGUGUUCUAGAUCCAGACUGGAGCUUGUGUAAAUCCUAGUUACCACGGGAUGAAGAUCCAACAGAAACAGAGAAACACAUAGAGACAUCAUUAGCAUAGCUGGACAGACCAGCCUGUGAUCUCCUAAGACACCCAGAUUCAGCCCUGGUCACGAUCAUUCCCUCACCUGUGUCUCAUCACAGUCCAUCACCAGUGUCUGCACCCUGCAUACUGCCAAUAUUAUGGAUUUCUGUUCUGGAGAGAGAUGCCAUUCACAACAUAAUCUCUACACAAUAUCCAACUCAAAUAAUUUAGUCUUGCCAAACAGUUUCCCUGAUUUGUUACUGUUCACAAUGUAGCAUGGUCUUGCCUACCUUUGUCCAUUCAGUUAUUAAAAUGUUUUUAAUA
This is a long non-coding RNA of Carassius gibelio (silver crucian carp), 1611 nucleotides long. RefSeq lists it as uncharacterized. The transcript is spliced from 6 exons. Lineage: Eukaryota; Metazoa; Chordata; Actinopteri; Cypriniformes; Cyprinidae. The record is from RefSeq and is a predicted model, not a curated record.